UACGUAGGUGGCAAGCGUUGUUCGGAAUUAUUGGGCGUAAAGGGCGCGUAGGCGGUCUUGUAAGUCCGCUGUGAAAGUCGGGGGCUCAACCCUCGGAUGCCGGUGGAUACUGUCGGGCUUGAGUACGGAAGAGGCGAGUGGAAUUCCUGGUGUAGCGGCGAAAUGCGCAGAUAUCAGGAGGAACACCGAUUGCGAAGGCAGCUCGCUGGGACGUAACUGACGCUGAGACGCGAAAGCGUGGGGAGCAAACAGG
RNAcentral lists this ribosomal RNA (253 nucleotides) under uncultured bacterium. RNAcentral's name for it is "partial 16S ribosomal RNA". It matches the Rfam family "Bacterial small subunit ribosomal RNA", at positions 524 to 776 of the family's 1533-position model. The record is from RNAcentral.